GUCGCUUUAGCCAAGUGGUUACGGCGCGGCCCUGCUAUCAAGCAGUUCAGGCCGUCCCUUCGGGGGCGUAGGUUCGAAUCCUGCAGGCGACG
This is a non-coding RNA of Cercophora newfieldiana, 92 nucleotides long. The record is from the annotation of a GenBank genome assembly. NCBI's taxonomy places the organism in Eukaryota, Fungi, Ascomycota, Sordariomycetes, Sordariales, Lasiosphaeriaceae.